RNAcentral lists this ribosomal RNA (426 nucleotides) under uncultured bacterium. Its description in RNAcentral is "partial 16S ribosomal RNA". It matches the Rfam family "Bacterial small subunit ribosomal RNA", at positions 355 to 774 of the family's 1533-position model. The record is from RNAcentral.
UGAGGAAUAUUGGACAAUGGGCGAAAGCCUGAUCCAGCCAUGCCGCGUGUGUGAAGAAGGUCUUCGGAUUGUAAAGCACUUUAAGUUGGGAGGAAGGGCAUUAACCUAAUACGUUAGUGUUUGACGUUACCGACAGAAUAAGCACCGGCUAACUCUGUGCCAGCAGCCGCGGUAAUACAGAGGGUGCAAGCGUUAAUCGGAAUUACUGGGCGUAAAGCGCGCGUAGGUGGUUUGUUAAGUUGGAUGUGAAAUCCCCGGGCUCAACCUGGGAACUGCAUUCAAAACUGACUGACUAGAGUAUGGUAGAGGGUGGUGGAAUUUCCUGUGUAGCGGUGAAAUGCGUAGAUAUAGGAAGGAACACCAGUGGCGAAGGCGACCACCUGGACUAAUACUGACACUGAGGUGCGAAAGCGUGGGGAGCAAACA